Long non-coding RNA from Panicum virgatum (switchgrass), 321 nucleotides. RefSeq lists it as uncharacterized. The record is from RefSeq and is a predicted model, not a curated record. NCBI's taxonomy places the organism in Eukaryota, Viridiplantae, Streptophyta, Magnoliopsida, Poales, Poaceae. The transcript is spliced from 3 exons.
CUCCAUCUCCUCUCACCCUCUCUCUCCGCGCACCCCAUCCUCAGGCCCAGAACCCGUCCUCUAUACACAGGCUUAUGUGUCACCGGCAAUGGAAGUCGAAUGCUCCUCCUCGCUCACCCCUCCGUACCAAAUGUCGACAUCAAAUCUAGUUUUCCCUGGUGGCGGCGGCCUCAAUGCUCAAGGCGAAUAUGGAGGAUGGUGCUAGUGUCUGGCGCCUACGGACCUUGCGUCUGGGUCAGUUGUGCAGGUAUUUGAGAGCGUGGAGCUACCGGCUGGGUUAUCCACUGUACUGUCGUGAGGACACACUAAAUUUUAUGACAC